Molecule: ribosomal RNA, 441 nt
Filed under: uncultured bacterium
Lineage: Bacteria
Description: partial 16S ribosomal RNA
Rfam family: Bacterial small subunit ribosomal RNA
Source: RNAcentral
CCUACGGGAGGCAGCAGUGGGGAAUAUUGCACAAUGGGGGAAACCCUGAUGCAGCAACGCCGCGUGAGUGAAGAAGUUUCUCCGUAUGUUAAGCUCCAUUUGCAGGGGAGAAGAACGACGGUACCUGACUACGACGCGCCGACUAACUCCGUGCCAGCAGCCGCGGUAAUACGUAGGGGGCAAGCGUUAUCCGGAUUUACUGGGUGUAAAGGGAGCGUAGCCGGCUGUGGAAGUCUGAAGUGAAAGCCCGUGGCUCAACCCCGGAACUGCUUUGGAAACUGUAUAGCUUGAGUACUGGAGAGGCAGGCGGAAUUCGUGGUGUAGCGGUGAAAUGCGUAGAUAUUAGGAGGAACACCAGUGGCGAAGGCGGCCUGCUGGACAGAAACUGACGUUGAGGCUCGAAAGCGUGGGGAGCGAACAGGAUUAGAUACCCCAGUAGUC